RNAcentral lists this ribosomal RNA (344 nucleotides) under uncultured bacterium. RNAcentral's name for it is "bacterial SSU rRNA". It matches the Rfam family "Bacterial small subunit ribosomal RNA", at positions 8 to 334 of the family's 1533-position model. The record is from RNAcentral.
AGAGUUUGAUCAUGGCUCAGGAUGAACGCUGGCGGCGUGCUUAACACAUGCAAGUCGAACGGGGUGCCUAUGAUAGAGGAUUCGUCCAAUUGAUUAGGCUACCUAGUGGCGGACGGGUGAGUAACGCGUGAGUAACCUGCCUUGGAGUGGGGAAUAACAGUCCGAAAGGACUGCUAAUACCGCAUGAUGCAGCGAGGUCGCAUGGCCUUGCUGCCAAAGAUUUAUCGCUCUGAGAUGGACUCGCGUCUGAUUAGCUGGUUGGCGGGGUAACGGCCCACCAAGGCGACGAUCAGUAGCCGGACUGAGAGGUUGGCCGGCCACAUUGGGACUGAGACACGGCCCAG